GCCAAGAUCGCACCACUGCACUCCAGCCUGGGUGACAGAGCGAGACUCAAUCUCCAAAAAAAAAAAAAAAAGUGAUAUAAUAAACUUGCAAAAAUACAAGUGCUCACUUAAUGCCACCAAUAGGUUCUUGAAAACUGCAACUUUAAGUGAAGCAAUGUAUAAUUUAAACCAAUUUUUACCAUAGAGUAAUUGAUAUAAAUAAGAAUUAAGUUCCUAUGGCAUAUUUCUGGUCACAAAAACAUCAAAUGUCUAAGUAAAGACUCAAAACCCUUUUAAUAUUAAAGAUUGAAAUAAAUGUGAGCUUUAUACACAUUUAAGAAAAAUUAACAAAAAUAAGUAGGACAAUUAAUUAUCCAAUUUUUGGUGCAUCCGUGAGUGAUGGUAGUCAUCGUGGUGGAGGUGAAAUCACGGAAUAAAUGUUUGCAAAGGGAAAAUUGUAAACAUCACCUCCUACCACAAUGCAGUUCAAAAACAAACAAUAACAAAUAUGGCAGGUUCACUGAGCACUUUCACACUGCAUUGCUUGUUGUCCUAUAUUUGUGUAGUUAUUGUAUUUAAUAAAUUUAUAUGUUGCAAUAAUAUAUAUUCAUUCAUUCUCCAACUCGCUUACUCCAGUUCAGGGUCAUGGGUGGCUAGAGCCUACCCUUGAAGCUAAGCAGGAACCAACCCUGGACAGCAUGCCAUUCCAUUGCAGGGCACACACACACCACCCACACUCAACUCAGACCAGGACAAUUUAGACACGCCAUGAACUUAACACUUACAGCUUUGGGAUGUAAAAUCCAGGGAACCCAGAGAAAACCUGUGCAGAUACAGGGAGAAUGUGCCAACUCCACACAGACAGUGGCCCUCACUGGGAAUCAAUUUUUCUUAUCAAUGUUAUAACAAAAUGACACUGAACAAAACAUCGUUAUUCAAGAACCUGCUGUACAUCUCAUGUUUGGCCCCAUAUAUGUAACAGGUCACAAAUCUUGAGAACAGAAAAUGAAUCCUUAUUCAUCUCUGUAACUGACUAUACAGCAGAGCUCUCUAGACAGUUCAGUUUCUUCAUAAAUGUUCAUUCAAUAACAGAAACUUCUGGGAAGAGGAGGCAGAUUUAACCAGCAUAACCAGGAGGGAAAGGACUAUCCUGGAACUCUACAGUGAGCAGAUGCUUCCCAACCUGAAGAAAUGCUCAGUAAAUGAACGUGAUGGGCAAUCUAUGAUUCUUGACUGCCUAUCAUCGAGCUCUCUCCUCUUGGUACCAUUAUCCUGAUUACCUUUCGGGGGGCUACCUCUCGCACAUAGAAAAUAGUCUUGUUGGCAAUUAAUCAGGUUUCACACCUACUCCUAAACAAAAGAUGGGAACAUGAUCUACAUUGGGCCUACUAGACAUUCCUUCCCUGGACUAUGAAUUGUGAGCAGUGAACAAAAAAGGCUUGCAAUGGUUUCAGUUCAUUCAUUCCACUGCCAGAGCUAGAAAGAAAAUGGUUUCUACCUGUUCUAGGCCUUCCUUUCAAAUCUGCAAGUCCAGACCUAUGCAGCCUCCCAACCACUGC
Sapajus apella (tufted capuchin) is the source of this 1538-nucleotide long non-coding RNA. RefSeq lists it as uncharacterized. NCBI's taxonomy places the organism in Eukaryota, Metazoa, Chordata, Mammalia, Primates, Cebidae. The transcript has 3 exons. The record is from RefSeq and is a predicted model, not a curated record.